GCCAAGGUGGCGGAGCGGCUACGCAAUCGCCUGCAGAGCGAUUAAACUCCGGUUCGAAUCCGGACCUUGGCU
This 72-nucleotide transfer RNA is filed under the name Methanosarcina thermophila. Its description in RNAcentral is "tRNA_Cys_GCA". It matches the Rfam family "tRNA". From Rfam's summary of the family: Transfer RNA (tRNA) molecules are approximately 80 nucleotides in length. Their secondary structure includes four short double-helical elements and three loops (D, anti-codon, and T loops). The record is from RNAcentral. Lineage: Archaea; Methanobacteriati; Methanobacteriota; Methanomicrobia; Methanosarcinales; Methanosarcinaceae. RNAcentral also lists the same sequence under 4 other names.